CUCUUAUCCAGAGAGGUGGAGGGAAGUGCCCUAUGAAACCCGGCAACCAUCAACACGUGUUGAAAUGGUGCCAAUUCACGCGAAGCGUUAUGCUUUGAAAGAUGAGAG
This is a regulatory RNA element of Bacillus licheniformis, 108 nucleotides long. It matches the Rfam family "SAM riboswitch aptamer (S box leader)". From Rfam's summary of the family: The SAM riboswitch is found upstream of a number of genes which code for proteins involved in methionine or cysteine biosynthesis in Gram-positive bacteria. The SAM riboswitch acts at the level of transcription termination control. The predicted structure consists of a complex stem-loop region followed by a single stem loop terminator region. Lineage: Bacteria; Bacillati; Bacillota; Bacilli; Caryophanales; Bacillaceae. The record is from Rfam.